This 290-nucleotide ribosomal RNA is filed under the name Cletocamptus deitersi. Its description in RNAcentral is "partial 16S ribosomal RNA". The record is from RNAcentral. Lineage: Eukaryota; Metazoa; Arthropoda; Copepoda; Harpacticoida; Cletodidae.
AUUUUAAGUUAAUUACUUAAUAGAAUGAAAGCGGAGACUAGAGGUCAAACCUUUUAGCCGCACUUUUGAAAUUGAAGGUAGAGUGAAAUUUCUUUACUUUUGCACAUAGAAGAGAAGACCCUAAAACUUUGUAAAGGAUAAUCAAAGCACUUUUAAAGUUUAAUUGGGGUAAUUACACAAACAAAUAAGCGAGUAACUCUGAGAAAAGAGCCUUAAGGAUUUAAUGUAGAAAGUACUUUAGGGAUAACAGCGCCGCGGCUAAAAAAGCUCUUAUUAAAAAAGCCAACAGC